Long non-coding RNA from Alnus glutinosa, 1556 nucleotides. RefSeq lists it as uncharacterized. The record is from RefSeq and is a predicted model, not a curated record. The transcript has 4 exons. Lineage: Eukaryota; Viridiplantae; Streptophyta; Magnoliopsida; Fagales; Betulaceae.
AAGGUGUCGUUUUUCUCCACUCGAGAGAAUACUGGUCGACCUUUUGUGCAAGAACUGCAGCUCUUUUCAUGCUCUGUAGACCCGCUCAAGGAAACCCACAAAAUGAAGUGAGGGAAGAGAAUACCUGUAAAAAAAGGGGGAGAGAAAGGGGCUUAUAAUCAAGAGUAAGAACAAGAAGAAGGAUUCCUGGGCAGCGCUCCAAGAUAUAUUGGCGGAAGUAUUGCCACAAACUCAGAGGUUACAGGUGCAUCUAUUGCUGCCACUGCUGCCUCUCAUGGGAUGGAAGUAGCAGUAGAGCAAGGUAUGGCUUCAGCCUUCAUUGGCUAGGGUCCACACUGGGCAUAGUUGGAUUAGCAAUUGACAAAUUUUGAGGCAGUGUCAGAUUGUUUUGGCCCCCAUGUACAAGAGUUGAGGAUAUGUAACAAAUUGACAUUAAAAAGAAAAAAAAAAAAAAGAAAAGAAAAGAAAAGAAAAAAAGAUCAAAUUGUAGAGUAUUUUUCUUUUUUAAUCCCCAGAGUAAUUAAAUUAAGGAGUAAAGGCUGAAAUCACUACUCCUUUCUUCGAGUAAUUCUAUCCGUCUAACAUAAGUCCAACAAUCAUCCAACUUUGUUGACGUGGUACUAUGCCACGUCAGCCCUCAUUUAGAAAAAAAAAAAAAAAUUCAAAAUCAGCGUGAUCUGCGUGAAAAUAUACCCAUUUUACAAUUUUCUUCCUCAAACCAUUUUCCCCACAAAUCUCUUCAUCCCUUUCUCCAUCUGAAUUAGGAUCCUCUCCAGUUGUACUUCAACUAGAGAGGAGCCAGUCUCUUAUGUUGAGGGGUAUUUUGGUAAUUUCAGUGUAAAAUUACCAAAAUACCCCUCAACAUAAAGGACUGGCUCCUCUCCAGUUCCUCUCAACUGGAGAGGAUCCAGUUCCUCUCCAUCUCCUCCCUCAACCCCAUCUACUGCCACCCACAACCACCACCACCGUCGAACACCCACGAGCCCGCCACUCGUACGGACGUACAGCAGCAUCUCCGAAUCUCCGGCCAUUUGCUUCAUCUCGAACAGUGGGUCCAGCUCCAUCUCCAUCUCCGGCCAGCUCCACCGUGCGUUCUCCAUCUCCGGUUCGGCUCUGACGAUCUGACAACCCAACCACCGUACCGCCACGAGCAGCCCCAGCCGAACCACCACCACUGCCGACGAGCCCAUCCACCGUCUUGCCUAUGUCCCUGAGCACUCACUGAAGAUCAAUGCAACUUCCAGCAUUUCCACAGCGAUUGUUUAGGAUUGGACUAUUUUAAUUUCCAUUUUUACCACAUUGUUUUGAGCAGGGAAAAGAAGUUUGAUGUGUUAACUUACCCAUUAAACCGGCAUUAAGCUUGUCUUGCCAUCCAGAAAAGUUGCACCAAUACAUGUUUGUCUCUCUCGAGUGAAGUUGGAAAAGUAGAAUCUGGAAGAUGCCUUUGGAUUCUGGGUGUAGUGUUAUUUUCUUAAGUUAAGAGAGUAGUGGUGGGGGCUAUGCAUAAGCCUGUAGCUGGAGAUUCAUGCAAAUAUAAAGGACAUCUGCUUAUGCUA